AAGUUCAAGUAGUACUUUUUGAAGUUAGGAACUACAAAGAAUUAUAUAGACUGACACAAACAUAUAUGCAUAUUCAUCAAAUGAUGUUCACAUACCAAACAGAAAAUAAUCAAGGCUUUUGUUAGGCACAUAUUCAUAAACAAGUAAGGUUUCUUCUCCUUCCAAGCAAAAUCCUAAAAGCCUGACAAGAUUUCUGUGUUGAAGCUUGGCUACCAACACAACCUCAUUCUUAAAUUCUUCUACACCUUGUCCAGAGCUUUUUGACAACCUCUUUACUGGUAUUUCUUGGCCAUCGCUUAGCAUUCCCUGUGAUAAGGUAUAUAGGUGCUUUAGUUUAUCCAACAAUUUUGUUAUGAUCUAAGCAAUUUAUAUAUACUAUACAAAGUUGUACUAGUAGAAUGACUCAUGAACUAAUGCAUUAUAUAUUUGUUGGGUUAUUACCUUAAAAACUGCACCGAAUCCACCUUCGCCUAACUUGUUAUCUUCGGAAAACUUAUUUGUGGCAGUUUCGAGAGUUCCCAAAUCAAAUUGCAAGGACUCAGCCGUCCUCAUAUCUUUUGCAUUGCAAAGAAAGUUAUGAUCAUAUGCCAGACACAUCAAAAUAAAUUCAAAAUUUUCAGUUCUAACUUUUGGGUUUCAUUUGUUUUCCCUUACCUUGCUGUUUGCCAUUUUCUUGUUGUAGAGCCUCAUCGUUCUUCUUUGUUUCUCUUCUGCCUGGGAGGCAGUAGCCCAAUGCUACAAGGACCAGAGAGACAACUAGAAGAGCAAUUACAACACUCACAACAACAAUGAUAGUUAUAGAGGAGUGUUUCUUUCUUCCUGCAGUAAGAACAGUUUGAGUUUUCUUGUCAUAAAGCUCUUUGUGUACUUUUAAACUCACAAUUUCCAUUGAUUGAUUUAAUUAGUUGAACAUGGAAAAAAUACAAAUGAUAGUUUUAUCAAACCUUUCUUCCACAUUCAUCAAAACAAAAACAAUUAAUAUCUCAUGUUCAUUUCCGGAAUACUGUUUCUUCCCCUUUAAAAUGUACUUGUUCUUAUCCACUUAAUAUCUAUCCAAUGGCCGAUAAGAUCGUAGUUCCUACAUAUAUCUAAAUCUUGAUUUAAAAUAUAAAAAACGAAUUAACAGGAGAACUCCUAUUAGUAAUCUAAUCAUUAAACAGUUUUUCCCUCAUAUUCGUUGUAGUCUUGUAGAGAGAAGAGUGCAUACAUGAUGACUUUUUUACGUGCACAGGGUACCUUACCUAUAGGUAAUCGCGAAUUUGGUAGUAGAGUACUAGGAGGAGGAAGAGCCUCUGGUGUGGGAGGAUGCUGUGCGUCGGUCCGAUUGAUGGCGUAAAAGAGGGUAGUAUCGAUCCAAACGGUACAACUGGGAUAUUGCAAUCGUCCCAAUUGGGUUCCAAAUGAAACUAAUUGUUCUGCAGCUUUUUCCAGACAACGUUUGCAAUCUGAAGCAGAGAGAUCCUGCGUGCACUGCACAAGGCUGUACAGCGUCUCAUUUGACCCUUCAACUUUGGCUUCUUUGGUUGCAAAGUACUUGCUGUUAUUGGCAGCCUCAGUGGUUAGUUCACUCAUAUUCAGGGUAAAUCCUCUUGGUUCUGUAACAUUAACCUCGUCCAACACGCCCGUUGCGAGCGAAAUGUUCAUCGAGAAAAGUAAUGUCUCAUUCGAGUAGCGUAGCAUGCACUCGUCGAACCAUAUGGUAACCUCUUUUAUAUCAGGGCAGCGUUGUGCUGCCUCCACGAUUGCAUCGGGCACGCACUCUUUGCAAACCUCGGUAGAGACAUCACCGCGACAUAGAAACAUCCCAUAUGCCUUUUCAGUUGAGUUUCGGCCAGCGGUGGCAGUGUAAAAUCCGGUGUCAGUACGUGUGGCGUUCGAGGAAAGGGAUUUGAGAAGUUGACCGAGAUUAUAUUGGAAGCUGUCGGGGUCGGAUUCGAAUACUUCGGCCGGGGUGAAAGUGGUAGUGUUUGGGCAGAGAUGGCUGAAGUAACGAACUGCUUCACUUCUAGCGAUCAAACUCAUGAGAAACAGAAAAGGGAUCGUAGACAUAUUCCUCAUCAUCUCCCCCUCGCUCUUAAUCACAAAUGUUGAUCAUAUAUUCCUAGGUUUAACAAUUAGUGAUUGUUUGAGGUAAUUAGAUGGCAAUUGCAAAUUCGCAAGCAUGGCUUGUUGACCCUUGGGUCAACCAUACCGUGUGACUCAUGAGAAAACAAUUACUAAAUUGCAGCUUCUUAGAAAUUGAUUCAUUGGAAACUUUAACAUGAUUUGAGUGAUAAAAUUAAUUAGUACCUUUAGGUGGACGAGAACCAGGUGCUCUUGGUGCAGGCGCCGGCAAUGAUGUGACGUUUUGGAGGAGUUGAAUAUUCUUGAACCGAGUAAAUUGUAGUUAUAGUCUCUUAAUUUUAAUUCAAUUAGAGCAAUGAUCCAUUAACUCAAAAUCCAUUACCAUUGAUCUCUCAAUUCAUCAAAACGUGCAGCUAUGAUCUCUCAACUAAAAAUUCAUUACUAUUGGUCUCUCAACUUUAAUUCAACUGGAGAAAUGACCUCUUAGUUUUAACCCAAUUGUAGCAAUGAUCCUUCUAACAUAACUCGUUUUUACAAAAAUUUUGCCAUAGUUGACAAAAAAUGACCAUAAUUACACACUUUGAUGAGUUGAAGGACCCUAAUUAUAUAAAUGGUUAUUCCAACAUAACUUAUUUUGACAAAAUUUUGAUGAAAUUGAUGAAAAUAAUUAUAGCUACACAUUUUGAUAAGUUGAAUGACCAAUAUAAUGAAUUUUUAAUUAAAGGAUUAUUGUUACAAUUUACUCUUUUUGCAUCCAUCUUUGCCUGUGCCCCUCUGUGCCCUUGCUUAAUUGAGUGACACCUGUCUUUUUAGUAACCACAACCAACACUGUUAACUUGCCAAUAUUUAAAAUAAUAAAAAAUAAACCAAAUAUUCAAGAAAAAAAAUUAAGAAAACAACCCUAGCACCCUAAAUUAUUUUACUAACCACAACCAACUCUGUUCAUAAAUUAUUUUCGACGCCAUGCCCAAUUUUCUCUGCUCUUUUCCCCUUUCUCAAUUCUCUUUCCAUGUUCUGCAAUUCCUGCGAUUCAUGACUGUUAGGUUGGUUUUAAGUCGACCUCUUCUCUGGUCAUUGCCGGCGAGAUUGUCCGUAGCUUUCACAUCGAAAUUUUUAUCGGUGAGUUUAUGAACAGAGACACUGCAAAAUUAAAUCCCUACCUCUCGCACUCCCCCCGUCGCUCUGUAAUCUGUAUGCAUUAGGUUUCAAAAUAGCAGGCCAUAGCUUCGGACUGCUGCGACAUCAACCUCGGCGGCCGACUGGUACCGCGAAAUGUACUAUUUUGGAACCGAAUGAAGGAAAAUGAGUAAACAUCAACACUUUUGUUUGAUUUGGCGGUGAGGGGUUCGAUCGACGAUUCGAUAUCGAAUCUGAAUCCUAAAUAUGGUGCGGCAAUUUGAGAGAGUGGGAAACGGCCUGUUCGGCAGCGAUGUGGAGGAGAAGAAGUACGGCGGCGGGUAUGGUGGCUGACUGAUGUGGUCGAGUGGUGGCUGUCGUCUGGGUUGGGGAUGAAAGUGGCUGAUAGGUAUUUUUUAAAAUUUUUCUUGAAUAUUUUGUUUAUUAUUUUUUUGUUAUUUUAGAUAUUGUCAAUUUAACAGUGUUAGCUCUAGUUAGUAGAAGGACAGGUGUCAUUCAAUUAAGCAAGGCACAAAGGGGAAUGGUGCAGAAAAUUUCAACUCUCCUCCUCCGCCUAAAGGUACUGUUUGAUUAUCUAAUUCAAAUCAUGUUUAAAUUACAAACAUUAAAUUUUGGCUGAUGUUAUUAGCAUUUCAAAAUGGUUAUUGUUCACUCCUCUUCGCAUGAUAAUUGUGUUGAAAUAAUAUCUGGCAAAUGUUUUGGUGCACCUUGAACACGACCAUUUAGUAUUAUUAUUUUAUUUAUUUAUUAAUACAUUUUAAAACUGAGACAUAUCAACCAUAUUUUGUACUGAUAUAUACCUAUUUAAUUUGGGUAAUACUAGAGAGAAUAAAUUUGUAGAUAAAAUUUACAAACUAAAUGAUAUGUUAGCAAUAGAAAAUGAGCACGUGUAUCAAUGCUUAAGUAAUAAUCUAAUCAUCAACUUCUAUGUCAUUUAAUUUACAAAAUUUAAUAUUCCCAUCAUUACUCAUUUAAUUUACCUCCAAAAUGAGUUGAAAUUUUCUGCACCAUUUUCGCCUGUGACCCCUUUGUGCCUUGCUUAAUUGAACGACACCUGUCCUUCUACUAACUAGAACUAACACUGUUAAGGCACAUAUUAAGGAAGGAGGAUUCUCUACCUCUUAUUCUCAUCUCUUUCCAUCUCCUCCUUUCACACAUUACUUUUUGUUUUAUUAUUUCUAUAAAAAAAUCAAUAUAAAAUGUUGACGUGACUUAACCGUGACCGUUUAAAUAGGAAGAGAUAGAAGGAUAGAGAGAUUAGGAAGGUAGAGAAUCUUGGUCCCAUAUUAAGGCCAUAAACUCUAUCUGGUCCAUUUCCAGCGGAAGUGUUGUACAGCUUGGAAACAGAAAGAUUUGAAGGCAAUGAAUUGAGCAGGCUGUGGAGGUUUUUGAAACGUACUAUUUUCGACUUAGACAUCAUAAACCAUCAAAUAAUAGUAACAUAUGCUUUGGAUUUUGUGGGUUUUUAUUUAUUUAUGUACGUUACAUAUGAGAUUAGCAUGUCUCAUAGGUUACACAACUAGAAUUAAACUUCAUUGCCUAGCCUGCUCUCCAUAUGUAUGUAUGCCUAAUUUUCGGACAUAUUGAAUUGAAAUUAUGAGUUUCAUUUUCAUUCAAUUCCGUCAUAAAAAUAAAAAAAUCAAAAAUCAAAAUCAAAAUCAAAACUUCAACAUCCAUNNNNNNNNNNNNNNNNNNNNNNNNNNNNNNNNNNNNNNNNNNNNNNNNNNNNNNNNNNNNNNNNNNNNNNNNNNNNNNNNUUUCCCAAAAAAACAAAAAACAAAAAACAAAAUGUGUAUAUAUAGAUAUAUAUAGGCUUGGACUUUCAAGCCCAAGACACAAUGUUGGUCCAACGCAAAUCUGGGCGGACGAAAAUACCCUCCAUUAUAAAAUUAAAAUCCCUUCCGGUCAAACACGGUGGAUACUCGGUUUCAAAUACAAACGGGCAACAUUGCGCGCUUUCCCGCCUCGGACCUCAGUUAAUGGCAAUCGCUCCUAGAAGACUUGCGGCUGCAUUCCGCAACUCGCCACAUCUCCAAUGCGUCCGAAGCUUGUCUCCGUUGCGCUUUGGAAAUAGUUACAGUUCCUUCGUGCCUUCGGUUUCGUCUGGUAUGCCCCGAACCUGCUUGUGAAAAUGUCUCUUAGACAACACCUAUUUUGUCAUUAACUGCCAUUUCUGCACUUGCUCUGUAUUUCAAGAUCAGAGGACUCUGCUCCAACUGGUCAUCCGGAAUUCCGACAAUAGAGAGAGAACGAGAGGGAGUGAGAUGUAGCUGAGCUGAGCUGUUGAAGACAUACUAGUUAUUAAAAUUCUUUUCAUUAUUUAUCCUAGUAUUAAUUAAAGUUUGUAGCAAUGGUUCUUUUGAGUAAACACUGUUUUAUAAUACCCUCCAAAAUAAAGGGCUUAAAGGGGAAAAUAUGAACGGAAUUAUUCUCUAAAAUAAAGGGUUAAAGAGGAAAAUAUGAACGGAAUUAACGGAGUUAUAAAAAAGGAUCAUUGUUACAGAUUGUAACAAGUUCUAGGAUCAAUAUUCGAAUUAACUUGAAACAUAUAAGUAUGUAAAAUAACACCACUCAAAUCAUACUGGCAGUGUAUAUACAGUAUAUGUUAUUAAAAAUUCUGGAGAUUCGAGAUUAGGGAGUGCAUGGUAACUAACAUCUACCCUAUACAAGUAGCAAGGUGAAAGAAAAGCUGUAAAGAUUAUAGAAUUGUCUCGAAUGCAGUAAAGUGCCUUUAACGGAAGAGCUUCCAAUGAUAUUAACCUUAUUGGCAUCGGUCUCAACGAGGAACAUCGAUAGAAAUCGUCAAACCAUUGGCUGAGCAAUCUUGAGCACGCACUUGAUCAUGGUGAUCAACAUAUCUCCCUGUAAAGAAGGCUGGUUUCUCAGGUCUGGAAAGACUAAUAGUUUCAGUUUUUAACAUAUGAACGACUGAUGACAUGGUCGGCCUGUUGUUGCAUCCUCUUGAACACACAAUAAUCCAAUGUGGAUAUUCCUCAAAAAUUCAUUUGGACUGCAUGAAUCUUUUAACAAGGGAUCCAUCAACUCCAAACCUUUCGUUUCAUUCCAUAAUUGCCAAGCCUGCAAUCAAUAUCUCUCAAGGAUGUAAAUCCUCCUCCAGUUUUGAUAGCUACACUAAUUAAGCUCACGAAUAUUUUGUACAAGUAUUCCAAGUAAAGAACUUACAUAACCUAUAAGAGUAGGUCCACAAUUAGUGUGAUGAAAGCCUAAAAAGUUCCUUCUCCCCGUUAUGAUCUCAAGCAGAAGUACUCCGAAGCUGAAGACAUCCGAUUUUACUGAAUACAACCCUUCCAUAGCAUAUUCUGGAGCCAUGUAACCACUAAUUGCAGGACCAAAAUGGUUGACAUAUAUAAGAGUUUAAAUAACAAACAUAUACUAUUCUGUUAUCUAUUUAUAGAUAGAGGUAAGUACAUAAGUUGAAACAAAUUAUUGGAAUGUAAGAUUACUAGUAUUGGAUAGAGAGGUAUUUGUAUAAGUUGAAACUUACUAAGUGCCAACAAUUCUUUUGGUAUUUCCUUCAGUUUGAUCAUCAACUCCAAACAUUCUAGCCAUCCCAAAAUCUGAUAUUUUCGGGUUCAUGUUGCUGUCUAAUAAAAUGUUGCUAGCUUUCAAAUCACGAUGUAUAACUCUAAGCCUCGAAUCUUCAUGAAGAUACAAAAUUCCUCGAGCAAUUCCUCCAAUUAUCAUGGUGCGGCUCAACCAAUCUAGUUGUUCUCGUUUUUUAUGUUCUGUAAAUUUAUCAAGUUCAAGUAGUACAUUUUGAAGUUAGGAACUACAAAGAAUUAUAUUUACUGACACAAACACAUGUCUAUUCAUCAAACGAUGUUCACAUACCAAAUAGAAAAUAAUCAAGGCUUUUGUUGGCCACAUUUUCAUAAACAAGUAAGGUUUCUUCUCCUUCCAAGCAAAAUCCUAAAAGCCUGACAAGAUUUCUGUGUUGAAGCUUGGCUACCAAUACAACCU
Molecule: long non-coding RNA, 7182 nt
Filed under: Malus domestica (apple)
Lineage: Eukaryota; Viridiplantae; Streptophyta; Magnoliopsida; Rosales; Rosaceae
Description: long non-coding RNA (MDOM_LNC005398)
Source: RNAcentral